Carassius carassius (crucian carp) is the source of this 539-nucleotide long non-coding RNA. RefSeq lists it as uncharacterized. The transcript is spliced from 3 exons. Lineage: Eukaryota; Metazoa; Chordata; Actinopteri; Cypriniformes; Cyprinidae. The record is from RefSeq and is a predicted model, not a curated record.
AACGUGAAAUAUUUCUAACGUGUUGCAGAUUCUCCUCCCGAAAAAUACUGUAGAACAUUCGUUUAUUUGAAUAUAUGUGGUGAGUGUGUAAAAGUAUACUUGUUAAAAGGUUAUAAUAGAAGAUACCCAUUUCUGAAGCAGCGCAAUUGAAUAUUAAAGCUGUAACGUUAAACAUUCUGCAUUUUUUUAACUUAUUUUGUACAUUUUGUAAUUGAAAACUGACGAUUUCAUAUAUGGCCGUAGACUGUUUUUUAAUCGAAUAAUUUCAAUUUGUGUAGAAACUUUGGCGCGAAGAUCAACUCUGGGUCAGUGCUAUUUUACAUACGGGCCAUUUCAGUCAAGUUGUUGGCCAUUUGAAACACUGCGCUUGAAGCACACAGUUUUGGUCUUUUCUCAAAUCAGUGCAAGAUAAAGCCACAGCAAAACAUCGACAUUAUGCUGUUUAAAGUGCAGUACCAACAUCACAGAAAGUACAUAAAACUUACUGGAUCGUCUUAUGAUUCUGUAAUCAAGGAUGUCAAGCAGAAGUUUGACAUCUC